This 329-nucleotide ribosomal RNA is filed under the name uncultured eukaryote. RNAcentral's name for it is "partial 18S ribosomal RNA". It matches the Rfam family "Eukaryotic small subunit ribosomal RNA", at positions 1470 to 1796 of the family's 1831-position model. The record is from RNAcentral.
CCCUUAGAUGUCCUGGGCCGCACGCGCGUUACACUGAUGCAUUCAACGAGCUUAUAACCUUGGCCGAGAGGCCUGGGCAAUCUUGUUAACGUGCAUCGUGAUAGGGAUAGAUUAUUGAAAUUAUUAAUCUUGAACGAGGAAUUCCUAGUAAACGCAGAUCAUCAAUCUGCAUUGAUUACGUCCCUGCCCUUUGUACACACCGCCCGUCGCACCUACCGAUUGGAUGGUCCGGUGAAGCGUUCGGACCGUGGCCUUUGGACGGUUCGCCGUCUGUUGGCUGCGGGAAGUUCGUUAAACCUUAUCAUUUAGAGGAAGGAGAAGUCGUAACA